GACCAUGGCCUCCAGCCCCAGCGUGUCGUACAGAGGAACCACCGCCAUGGAGUAGGUGUAGCAGGCCAGCUCUGAGAUGAUCCACUUCCACCAGCAGAGGGAGACAAAGCAGCACCGUUAGACUCACCUCCAACCUUCACGCCCUGCUGAGUUAGAGAUCUAAACAUCUGGGGAUUUGUGUGAGAUAAGCAUGGCCUCCCCUGAGAGGACUUCAGAGGUUUUCAAAGAACAGCAUGAAUGUUUUCAGGCCUCUCUGGAACAUGUCGAAGGCUGUCCUGGUGUCAUCGUAGUAAAAUUCCAGCAGUGUGUCAUCUUUUAGAAGAGCAGACCGCCUGCAGCUGGGAUCUCCCUGCAACAAACACACACAGUAAACACCUAAAAACACUCCUAACAUCAUGACGAAUGCAUUUCACACAUGUCUAAAUAUAACCAUGGUCCACUCACAUUGAUAGCCACAGACUGGGCCUGCAGGUCACAGGGAGGACGCAUGGGUCGAGGACGGGUCACCAGCCAGUACGCUGUGAUAGAGGCGAGAGCUCCUAAACCCAGCAGAGAGGAUUGGGACAGAGACAGGGAGGACAGGGGGAAGGACGGCAGGAGACUCCAGAAAUCCUCAGAAUCAGACCCUUUGAGACCAGCGCUGGAGCGAAGUGACCGUAACCACUCCUGGAAAUGCAUAGCUGAGAGAGGAGGACAGAGAGAAGGACACGGUGAAAUACGAGAGA
Long non-coding RNA from Eleginops maclovinus (Patagonian blennie), 725 nucleotides. RefSeq lists it as uncharacterized. The transcript has 3 exons. NCBI's taxonomy places the organism in Eukaryota, Metazoa, Chordata, Actinopteri, Perciformes, Eleginopidae. The record is from RefSeq and is a predicted model, not a curated record.